GUGGAUUAGAUACCCUGGUAGUCCACGCCGUAAACGAUGCGCACUAGACCGAUGCAGGUCUGACCCUGUGUUGGUCGGAGAGAAAUUGUUAAGUGCGCCGCCUGGGAAGUACGGUCGCAAGGCUAAAACUCAAAGGAAUUGACGGGGGCUCACACAAGCGGUGGAGCAUGUUGCUUAAUUCGAAGCAACGCGAAGAACCUUACCUGGGUUUGACAUGCAUGGAUUAGUUCCUGGAAACAGGAAUGACACUCGCAAGAGUGGAACAUGCACAGGUGCUGCACGGCCGUCGCCAGCU
Molecule: ribosomal RNA, 295 nt
Filed under: uncultured bacterium
Lineage: Bacteria
Description: partial 16S ribosomal RNA
Rfam family: Bacterial small subunit ribosomal RNA
Source: RNAcentral